Molecule: ribosomal RNA, 407 nt
Filed under: uncultured bacterium
Lineage: Bacteria
Description: partial 16S ribosomal RNA
Rfam family: Bacterial small subunit ribosomal RNA
Source: RNAcentral
AUUGAACGCUGGCGGCAGGCCUAACACAUGCAAGUCGAACGGAGCGGCGGACGGGUGAGUAAUGCAUAGGAAUGUGCCUGGUAGGGGGGGAUAACUACGUGAAACGGGGGCUAAUACAGCAUAAUAUAAGAGGGGCCUAGGUCGGAUUAGCUAGUUGGUGGGGUAAAGGACGACCAGGGGGACGAUCCGUAACUGGUCUGAGAGGAUGACCAGUCACACUGGAACUGAGACACGGUCCAGACUCCGACGGGAGGCAGCAGUGGGGAAUAUUGGACAAUGGGCGAAACCCUGAUCCAGCCAUGCCGCGUGUGUGAAGAAGGUCUUCGGAUUGUAAAGCACUUUAAGUUGGGAGGCGUUACCAACAGAAUAAGCACCGGCUAACUUCGUGCCAGCAGCCGCGGUAAUAC